AGGGCACCACCAGGAGUGGAGCCUGCGGCUUAAUUUGACUCAACACGGGAAAACUCACCCGGCCCGGACACUGGAAGGAUUGACAGAUUGAGAGCUCUUUCUUGAUUCAGUGGGUGGUGGUGCAUGGCCGUUCUUAGUUGGUGGAGUGAUUUGUCUGGUUAAUUCCGAUAACGAACGAGACUCUAGCCUACUAAAUAGAUCGUCGGCUUACAAACGCCGGCGAGACUUCUUAGAGGGACAGGCGGUGAUUCAACCGCACGAAACAGAGCAAUAACAGGUCUGUGAUGCCCUUAGAUGUCCGGGGCCGCACGCGCGCUACACUGAAGUGAUCAGCGUGCAUUUGUUCUCGCUCCGUGAGGAGCGAGUAACCCAAGGAACCUUCUUCGCGAUAGGGAUUGGGCAUUGUAAUUAUUGCCCAUGAACGAGGAAUUCCCAGUAAGCGCGAGUCAUUAGCUUGCGUUGAUUACGUCCCUGCCCUUUGUACACACCGCCCGUCGCUACUACCGAUUGAAUGAUAGA
This 519-nucleotide ribosomal RNA is filed under the name uncultured eukaryote. RNAcentral describes it as "SSU rRNA". It matches the Rfam family "Eukaryotic small subunit ribosomal RNA", at positions 1161 to 1700 of the family's 1831-position model. The record is from RNAcentral.